GCGAUAGCUCAAGCCAGGGAAUCAAGGUCUCAUCAAGGUCCGAAAACAAAUGAGAGACUGAACCACAUGAUUGAGAAUCAUGUAUAAUGGUGACGUCGUUAUUCUCAAGGUUGCUUCUAUGGAUAACAUAUAGAUCUCCAUUGUCUAGGCCUACUACUCAGCCAUUUAUGAAAUGACUACAGAAGAGGUAUCAUAACUGAUGACCAAGCUGAUUGGCUCU
This 220-nucleotide long non-coding RNA is filed under the name Malus domestica (apple). RNAcentral describes it as "long non-coding RNA (MDOM_LNC019622)". Lineage: Eukaryota; Viridiplantae; Streptophyta; Magnoliopsida; Rosales; Rosaceae. The record is from RNAcentral.